AUGCGUACCGGUGAUCACGUACUUGCUAUGGUCAAUGAUUUACACGUAAUCUUUGGAAAGGGUCCCGGCGGACUAGCUGUUCCGAAUGAUGCUGAGGGACACGCACCCAUGUGGAAGAAGAAAUCUAUAUCUUGGGACCUACCCUACUGGAAAGACCUAGAGGUCCGCUCUUCAAUCGACGUGAUGCACGUGAUGAAGAACCUUUGCGUGAACCUACUAGGCUUCUUGGGCAUGUAUGGGAAGACAAAAGAUACACCUGAGGCACGGGAGGACCUACAAUGUUUGCACGAAAAAGAGGGCAUGCCUCCGAAGCAGUAUAAAGGUCCUGCCAGCUACGCUCUUACGAAAGAAGAGAAAGAAAUCUUCUUUGAAUGCCUGCUCAAUAUGAAGGUCACGACUGGCUUCUCGUCGAAUAUAAAGGGAAUAAUAAAUAUGCCAGAGAAAAAGUUCCAGAACCUAAAUUCUCAUGACUGCCACGUGAUUAUGACGCAAUUGCUUCCGGUUGCAUUGAGGGGGCUUCUAGCAGAAAACGUCUGA
RNAcentral lists this ribosomal RNA (537 nucleotides) under Triticum aestivum (bread wheat). RNAcentral describes it as "partial small subunit ribosomal RNA". The record is from RNAcentral. Lineage: Eukaryota; Viridiplantae; Streptophyta; Magnoliopsida; Poales; Poaceae.